CGCAGAGUAGUUGUAAUAUGUGCAAUUACUUAUUUUUUAGUCUAUAUUUAAUAUUCAAUGCAUGUGUACAAACAUUCGAUGUGUUAGCGUGUAACUUUUUAUGGGCGAAUUAAAUAAGGACACUAAAAGCUCCGGCAUUCCAGGGCCCUGUUUAGUUCUCAAAAAUUUUAUUUUUAUUCUAUCACAAUGAAUCUUUGUACGCAUACAUAGAGUAUUAAAAUAUACAUAAAAAUAAUUAAUUGUAAAAUUUGCAUAUAAUUUAUAAGAUAAAUCUUUUAAACUUAGUUAGUUUAUAAUUGCAUACUAAUUACUAAAUAAAACAAAAAAACUACAGUAACUAAAUUAAAAAAAAUUACAAACUAAACAAGGCCUCGUUUCCAUUGCCCAUUCGGUCAUUCGGGCCGGGAGCCCAGAGCCUGCCUGGAAACGGAAAGGAUCCACCGGCGAGAACGAGAUGCUGUACUUGUACGUCCUAGUCGUAAACUCGUAACGUCGAAGUGUCGAAACACGUGCCACUCCAUGGGUGGUAUAUUAUUCUGUUCUGUUAGAUUAUCUAUAUAUCCCGCG
This 567-nucleotide long non-coding RNA is filed under the name Sorghum bicolor (sorghum). RNAcentral's name for it is "long non-coding RNA (SBIC_LNC016782)". Lineage: Eukaryota; Viridiplantae; Streptophyta; Magnoliopsida; Poales; Poaceae. The record is from RNAcentral.